This 650-nucleotide ribosomal RNA is filed under the name Salmonella enterica. RNAcentral's name for it is "bacterial SSU rRNA". It matches the Rfam family "Bacterial small subunit ribosomal RNA", at positions 110 to 756 of the family's 1533-position model. The record is from RNAcentral. Lineage: Bacteria; Pseudomonadati; Pseudomonadota; Gammaproteobacteria; Enterobacterales; Enterobacteriaceae.
GUAAUGUCUGGGAAACUGCCUGAUGGAGGGGGAUAACUACUGGAAACGGUGGCUAAUACCGCAUAACGUCGCAAGACCAAAGAGGGGGACCUUCGGGCCUCUUGCCAUCAGAUGUGCCCAGAUGGGAUUAGCUAGUUGGUGAGGUAACGGCUCACCAAGGCGACGAUCCCUAGCUGGUCUGAGAGGAUGACCAGCCACACUGGAACUGAGACACGGUCCAGACUCCUACGGGAGGCAGCAGUGGGGAAUAUUGCACAAUGGGCGCAAGCCUGAUGCAGCCAUGCCGCGUGUAUGAAGAAGGCCUUCGGGUUGUAAAGUACUUUCAGCGGGGAGGAAGGUGUUGUGGUUAAUAACCGCAGCAAUUGACGUUACCCGCAGAAGAAGCACCGGCUAACUCCGUGCCAGCAGCCGCGGUAAUACGGAGGGUGCAAGCGUUAAUCGGAAUUACUGGGCGUAAAGCGCACGCAGGCGGUCUGUCAAGUCGGAUGUGAAAUCCCCGGGCUCAACCUGGGAACUGCAUUCGAAACUGGCAGGCUUGAGUCUUGUAGAGGGGGGUAGAAUUCCAGGUGUAGCGGUGAAAUGCGUAGAGAUCUGGAGGAAUACCGGUGGCGAAGGCGGCCCCCUGGACAAAGACUGACGCUCAGGUGCGA